This 352-nucleotide unclassified non-coding RNA is filed under the name soil metagenome. RNAcentral's name for it is "partial contains 5.8S ribosomal RNA, internal transcribed spacer 2, and large subunit ribosomal RNA". The stretch from base 1 to 120 matches the Rfam family "5.8S ribosomal RNA", at positions 35 to 154 of the family's 154-position model. The record is from RNAcentral.
GAUGAAGAACGCAGCGAAAUGCGAUAAGUAAUGUGAAUUGCAGAAUUCAGUGAAUCAUCGAAUCUUUGAACGCACAUUGCGCCCGCCAGUAUUCUGGCGGGCAUGCCUGUUCGAGCGUCAUUACAACCCUCAGGCCCCCGGGCCUGGCGUUGGGGAUCGGCGGAGCCCCCCGUGGGCACACGCCGUCCCCCAAAUGCAGUGGCGGUCCCGCCGCAGCUUCCAUCGCGUAGUAGCUAACACCUCGCGACUGGAGAGCGGCGCGGCCACGCCGUAAAACACCCAACUCUUCUGAAGUUGACCUCGAAUCGGGUAGGAAUACCCGCUGAACUUAAGCAUAUCAAUAAGCGGAGGA